This is an RNA transcript of Ahaetulla prasina, 1146 nucleotides long. It is a transcript of the gene named ribonuclease P protein subunit p21-like, with no coding region annotated. The transcript has 7 exons. The record is from RefSeq and is a predicted model, not a curated record. Lineage: Eukaryota; Metazoa; Chordata; Lepidosauria; Squamata; Colubridae.
CUAAGAGCGACGGACUCGGAGAGGCUCUUUGCGCGGAAUUAGGAAGCCGGUUUUACUGUAUUUUAAUCAGUGCAAUCGCGGCGCCUGAGCUUCAGCCGAGAAGGGUAAAGGCGGAUGUGGGUCAUCAAAGGCUAAGCCCAAGAAAAGAAUAUUAAUAGUAGCCUUGAAUCCUGUCCGCUUUCUUUAUAUAUUUUAUGGAGUAUGCAGGUUUUCUUAAUAGGGUUUUGCUUUGUUUUGUUUCUGUAACUAAUCAGGCUCCUUUCUCUUUCCACCAUCAAGAGUUCAUCCUCUGCCUACUAAAAGAGUGCACUUGAGCAAGAAAAAAGAAGAAGGAAGCGAGUCUCCAGAUCACACAGCAUGAUAAAGGACAAAGAAGCCUUCCAGAGACUGAAUUUCCUCUAUCAGGCAGCGCAUUGUGUGCUCGCCCAAAACCCAAAUAAUCAAGAGUUGGCUCGUUUCUACUGUCACACCCAAAACAACAUCAGCCGGCGGCUCGUCUUGAGACAGGACCCUUCCGUAAAAAGGACCAUCUGCAAAUCCUGCUUCUCUCUUCUCAUUCCUGGAGUCAGCUCAACUGUUCGCCAAAGAAAGCGCCGUCAUCAACGUUGGACUGUUGUGCAGUGCCUGAACUGUGGCCUAAGCAAGCGUUUCCUCAGUAACCCUGACUACAAGUUGUGGUCGGAGCAGCCUGAGGCAUUGCUGGAGAACCAAACGCCAGCCGGUGCAGGCACCAAAGGCCAGACCUCCAGUGCAGCACAAGAGCCACACAAAGCCUCCCAAAUGGGAAAGGCAACAGUCCCGAGUUCCAGUCCGUGCAACUGUCUUGCCUCUAUCACAGCUGGCACCCAGUCAAUAGGAGCAAAGAGUGGGAAGUGACAUCUGCCUUGGGAUUGUUUCAUUUUUGUAACCCAGGAGUGAAUCACCUGCCUUGGAUGGAAGAAGCCAGCAAGAUGACAUUCAGGACAAGAGAAAGUCGAGGAAUUAUACUUUCCAAAAGUUCAACUUGCUACUUGAAGAACUUCAAUGAGUGCACCUCAGAUCUGAAGCACCGCUGAUGUUCCUGUCAGAAGAACUUAGUGAAAAGGUGACAAAAGAAAGUUUCAGCCUCAUGUCACUUUUGUGUACCAGAUAAAUUACCAGAAACUG